Molecule: long non-coding RNA, 977 nt
Filed under: Populus tremula
Lineage: Eukaryota; Viridiplantae; Streptophyta; Magnoliopsida; Malpighiales; Salicaceae
Description: long non-coding RNA (PTRE_LNC002960)
Source: RNAcentral
CCAAAUUGUGUAAUAAAAAUCCAAGGAUUACAUUGAAAACGGCGCUCAAAUGCAGGGAGCCAAUUACAGUUUAGACCAGGGGCUUAAUUAUAAGAAUUUUAAAAACGGCAUGGGCUAAAACGUAAAAUGGCCUUUUUAUCUCCAAACGGCGUCGUUUUGAAGACGUUGUCGGCUGUUCAUCUUCUUCCUUUAAGCCAGUGACCGUUGCCGCAGUAAAGGAGGCCGAACGUUGCAGCAGUAAUGGUCGUCCGUUGGCUUUAGUUAUGGCCGCCUUAAUGGUGGUCGACCCUCAGCCUACCGCCCGUUACCACCCGUAGAGCCCUAUAUAAAUCGAGCAACACCGAGAGCAAGGGGCUGGUUGGAGAGUUAGAGAGAGAGAGGGACUAACGAAACCAGAAGGGAGUGGGGAAGCUAAAACCCAGACGAAAAAAACCCAGUAGACAGAGGCGGAGAGACUGAAAAAACCUGGGGAAAACUGAGAGAAGAGUAGACCAAGAGCCGGGGAGAAGAAAAAGCCACGAAGGGAGGGCAGAACCGAGAGGGAAUUUAUACAGAGGGGAGAAAAGUUUUUGCCCCUGUUUCUGCUCAAAGAAACAGAGGCGUUCGCGCCUCACGCGUGAAGAAAGAGGGGAUUGGGCUGAGAAAACAAAAGGAAGGAAUGAACGGGGAGAAGUAUAAACCGAAGACAACAGGAAACACACAGAGAAGAACGAAACGGAGACUGAGACGCAGAAGACUGGGAACUAACAAAGAAAAACAGAGAACACGAACAAGCAGGGAGAAGACGUGCAGAAGAGACAGAGCAGAGGGAUCCAACACAGAAAGGAAAAAAACAACGUAGAAGAAGGAACAGAGGAGAGGAAGUAGCGUCUGCCAGCUAGAGCUAACCGGUCAUCACCAUCGUCUUCGUCUUCAGGAGCAGCAGACCAGGUAAGCAAACUUCUCUUUCCCCGCUUUUCAUUUUAAUUCACCGGCUA